UGACGGCUUGACCGUCGGGGGAUAGCUCCGGCGUGAGAGUCAGUACAGGCGAUCACAAGGUUAACAAUGGAGGGAUAAAUAUCUAGUGACUUGAGAGUAAUAAUUAAUUAGUUCCCUUUCACCGUGUGUCAUCCUUGCUUUAUAUCCCCAAAGUCCGGUUUGUCCUGUAUGCAACUGACUUCCCUGGGCCCACCUCCUUUAGCCGACUAAGCCCUGUCCAAUCCUCAUUAAAUGCAAUGCAGAGAUGACAGUCAAAGUUCUAUCCCCAAUCUACACCGGUCAAAGCCCAAGUGGAACCACACUCAUCUAGUAAUCUGGCCCACUGCUACAUCCCAAUACUUCAUAGGCCCCAAAAUAAAGAUAAUAUCCACCCAAUGGGCUGGCCCAAUGAACCGGCCUAAUACUUUCAAGACCCACCUCAACAUGUCUAAAGUAUUAUGGCCCAACAUUGCCCCCCAGUCUUUUAUUAAACAGGAGGUUUAAUGAAAGAGUAUAAGUGGAAUCGGUUCAAAAUAAAAGGAAUUAUAAUGAGAUUAACAAAGGCCCAAGAUACAACUUACCGAGGCCCAAAAGAGAAGCCCACUCCGGUUAACAAUGAAGACUAAAACCGCACGCUACUUCUUUAACUUCACAAUCACCGUUGGCAUUAAAUGAGCCACCCCUGAACCUUGUGAAAAGUUGAAUAGAACUCUAGUAUAAAAGCUGCUUUCUCCCAAAUCUGACAGUUUUACCAACUCAAUUCGAAAUUCGGAUAUUUCUUACUCCUUUUCUUCUCCAAAUUUCUCUCUGCAACUAAUUAACAAUGGCUUCUCAGAAUACUAAUCAAAAUUCUCCACUUCGCAUAGCCCCCACUACCAUUGUUCUUCCCAAUUUCCAUCAGUAGUUCUCGUAAAUAAUUGUUCUUCAUCUGUUGCAGUGUCUCUGAUCAAACCAACGUCAAUCGACCGAAGGGAUCUAGACAGAUUUCUUUCUGGUACAUCUU
RNAcentral lists this long non-coding RNA (982 nucleotides) under Panax ginseng (ginseng). RNAcentral's name for it is "long non-coding RNA (PGIN_LNC014132)". The record is from RNAcentral. Lineage: Eukaryota; Viridiplantae; Streptophyta; Magnoliopsida; Apiales; Araliaceae.